AACAAUAAUCAUCAUCAGCGUCUGCUCUCUGCAGAUCUCAAGUGAAAGCUUCAUUAACUAAAAUGUCCAACUUUGAUUGCAAUGAUCAAACUGAGUACGAAGCUUAUGCAAAGUGUCUUGGGAAGGCUCUGUGCUACAUUCCCACCCCGACGACAGUAGGGUUAUAUGCACCCUGGGGAUCUGGAAUCAACCAGCUUCUGCACAAUGUACAAAGCGAAUUGGCAAGAUCACCGCUAGGCAGCAGCGAAACGCCAAUUGACGGGA
This is a non-coding RNA of Chiloscyllium plagiosum (whitespotted bambooshark), 264 nucleotides long. The record is from RefSeq and is a predicted model, not a curated record. NCBI's taxonomy places the organism in Eukaryota, Metazoa, Chordata, Chondrichthyes, Orectolobiformes, Hemiscylliidae.